UCCUACGGGGGGCAGCAGUGGGGAAUAUUGGGCAAUGGAGGCAACUCUUACCCAGCAAUGCCGCGUGAAUGAAGAAGGUCUUCGGAUUGUAAAGUUCUUUAAUUGGGGACGAAAAAAAUGACGGUACCCAAGGAAUAAGCCCCGGCUAACUACGUGCCAGCAGCCGCGGUAAUACGUAGGGGGCAAGCGUUGUUCGGAAUGACUGGGCGUAAAGGGUGCGUAGACGGGACAGCAAGUUAGUUGUGAAAGCCCUCGGCUUAACUGAGGAACUGCAACUAAAACUAUUGUUCUUGAGUGCAGGAGAG
Molecule: ribosomal RNA, 305 nt
Filed under: uncultured bacterium
Lineage: Bacteria
Description: bacterial SSU rRNA
Rfam family: Bacterial small subunit ribosomal RNA
Source: RNAcentral